This is a long non-coding RNA of Cygnus olor (mute swan), 913 nucleotides long. RefSeq lists it as uncharacterized. The transcript is spliced from 3 exons. The record is from RefSeq and is a predicted model, not a curated record. NCBI's taxonomy places the organism in Eukaryota, Metazoa, Chordata, Aves, Anseriformes, Anatidae.
AAGCUAUCUAAUUCCAUUAAAGGUAGCUGUUUUGGGGGCCUUUUUAAACAUUCUUCCUUUUGCUCUGGAUUCUUGAGAUCUUACAACAUCUUUUCACAAAACUAGUUGGCUUUGACAGUCAGGGUUACAUUAGGCUUGUCUAACAAGUGGGAAAAUAUACUUAAGGCCUCACAGAGGACAGUCACAGGUCUGUUGCAGUCCAGUGGGACUCACAUCCAGCGUGCUGGGGGCAGAGCUGAAGGAAAGCCAGGACAGAAUGGGAUGCAUUGCUUCUGCAUCAACCCACGCCCCAAAAAUGGAUCAGAGAGAGGCUGGCUGGUAACCAUUGUAAGAUUGACUCAGGAAGCCUACCCUCACUCCAGCAAAAUUCCACCUUUGAACUUCAUAUCUGCAAGGGCUGAUUCCUCCAGUAAAACCUGUGCUUCCAGAUGAAUACAGUUUGCAGCCCCAGAUGCCCAGGAAUUGCAGAAGACCAGAAGGACUCUAAAGAAGAAAUUGUGACAGACUUUUUACAAAGCUGGUAAAUAUUAGGCUAAUGUGCUGGGAAGUUCAGGUGUAUCAAAAAUGGGGAUGAUGUAGCUUACAACAUAGAAAGCUCUUGGCUGAUGCCAAAAAAAGUGUUUUAGUAACAGCUUCAACUUGACCUAAAGAGUCAGGAACAUGCCACCCUCUUCCUAAGGGAAAAGCUUUAUUGAUGAAGUUGGGAACCUGACAGGAGUACAUUAAGUGGAGCUAAGCACCUUCUAGGCUCAUAAAUGAUAGCAGGAUUGGAAGGUUUACUAUGUAAGUAUCCGAAUUAACUAAUCACAGUAAAGCGUGCGACAUUUCCAGUAGUACAAAUUAGUUGGCUAAGGCUGCUUUAAGGUAAUGUGGGUUGAUGGAAUUUCUUAACCAUUGCACUUGGAAGGAUACA